This 114-nucleotide ribosomal RNA is filed under the name Cordylochernes scorpioides. The record is from RNAcentral. Lineage: Eukaryota; Metazoa; Arthropoda; Arachnida; Pseudoscorpiones; Chernetidae.
ACGACCAUACCACGUUGAAAACACCAGUUCUUGUCCGAUCACCGAAGUUAAGUAACGUGGGGCCCGGUAGUACUUGGGAGGGUGACCACCUGGGAACACCGGGUGCUGUAGGCU